GCUUUAGUAGCUCAGUCGGCAGAGCGUCAGUCUCAUAAUCUGAAGGUCGAGAGUUCGAACCUCCCCUAGAGCA
RNAcentral lists this transfer RNA (73 nucleotides) under Zygotorulaspora mrakii. RNAcentral's name for it is "Zygosaccharomyces mrakii tRNA". It matches the Rfam family "tRNA". From Rfam's summary of the family: Transfer RNA (tRNA) molecules are approximately 80 nucleotides in length. Their secondary structure includes four short double-helical elements and three loops (D, anti-codon, and T loops). The record is from Rfam by way of RNAcentral. Lineage: Eukaryota; Fungi; Ascomycota; Saccharomycetes; Saccharomycetales; Saccharomycetaceae.